UACCGGAGGAUGCAAGCGUUAUCCGGAUUUAUUGGGUUUAAAGGGUGCGCAGGUUGUUUGAUAAGUCAGUGGUGAAAGUCUGUCGCUUAACGGUAGGAUUGCCAUUGAUACUGUUAGACUUGAAUAUGGAUGAGGUAGGCGGAAUGUGUAGUGUAGCGGUGAAAUGCAUAGAUAUUACACAGAACACCGAUUGCGAAGGCAGCUUACUAAUCCAUCAUUGACGCUGAGGCACGAAAGCGUGGGGAUCAAACAGGA
This 255-nucleotide ribosomal RNA is filed under the name uncultured prokaryote. RNAcentral describes it as "partial 16S ribosomal RNA". It matches the Rfam family "Bacterial small subunit ribosomal RNA", at positions 523 to 777 of the family's 1533-position model. The record is from RNAcentral.